RNAcentral lists this long non-coding RNA (2598 nucleotides) under Fukomys damarensis (Damara mole-rat). Its description in RNAcentral is "lncRNA (ENSFDAG00000028095.1)". Lineage: Eukaryota; Metazoa; Chordata; Mammalia; Rodentia; Bathyergidae. The record is from RNAcentral.
UUUUACCAAAUAUAACUGUCUUGGUAAGUAAUUAAUGGAGCAUUAAUUCUAAGAUGUGUCGUUUUAUCUGCAUGAAGAAAACAGUGGUGGCAAUUAAAUGAAGAUGCGCAGCAGGGUUUGUGCAGUGAUCAAUGGAAGAAAGGUGCAUCGGAGUGAGAAUCAGAGACUCUACUGUCAGCAUUGGGACGGGAACCCAAAGAGCGGCACUCACAGCUUUCCCCUGUGUUCUCCUUAUGCCAAAGGUGAUGGAAAAGAGAACAGAAGCCCGGAAACUGACUUCGUCACACAGAAAGGCUUCAGGACCCCGGGCAGCAGUGUGAAACAAAGAUCGCCCCGUCAGGAUGGAGCCUCUGUGAGCCCCGACUUCACCGUGGAUGGGAACCUCUUCGAGUCCAGGUGGUCAUCUCGAGAGACUGGGAAGGGGCGAUGGCGAAUCACUGAGGUUCUGGACUUCUUUCACCCUGGAGCUCCUAGCUCUCUGCACACAGCACCUAGCAAGGUGCCCUCACAGAUGGCAGCCUCCUCUCUUGGUUCGUAUUCCUGGUGAAAAAGCUGGAAAAGUAGACACACCGAGGAGCUAGGAUGGCUUGGAGAGGGUAGAUGGGAAAGUACCAGCAGACAGUCAUGUGGGGAGAGUGGAGGGAGGACUAGAGGAAUGGCUUUGAACCUGACAGGCUUUGGUGAUUCCUGGUGGAAUUGCCUGCUCAUGAGUUUUCAGGCACAGUUUUGUCCUUAGGGUUCCAUGAGUGAGGAGUCCAUGUUGACUCAGUGCCUCUUUUCUUCCCUGCUCUUUCGGCAGAUUUGAGGUUAGAAACACGUCUCGUGCCAUAUGUCAGUUACAGGACCAACAUUCCAUUUGUUUAAUGCAUAUUUCCAUUCCUGGAGUGACUAUCAGUAGUGCGUGCAAUGUGUAGAGCUGGAACCCAGGAGUGAAAAACACAUGUGAGUUUCUUCCCCCUAAAGGUUAUAUUCUAAUAAGGGACGAUGGUGAUGUCAUCAUCAUUACGUAAGUGGUGGUGAGUCACCAGUGCUGAGUGAGGCGCCCCAGGGAGCAGUGUGAGACGGGAUGGACAGUGAGGUCCUUCUGAGGAUGGACACUGGGAGCGAGGGCUGGGGUCAGGAAUGAGCCAGCCACAGGAAGAGUUGUAGGAUGAGCAUUCCACGGCCAACACAAAACCCUGGAGAGGGGCCAGCCUGACAGGUCCCAGGAGUGGAAAGAGGGUCAGUGGUCAGAAAGCCAGGGAACAGAAGCAAGGUAGAGAGAAAGGCCUGAGUGUAGGAGAGAGUGAGGACUCAGGCCGGGGCCCAGGGCGAGAAGGACUCUGUAUCUGUGGGAGCAGCUGGGGCUUGACUCUGGGUCUCAUCAGAACUCAGUAAACGGCUGUCAAAUGUAGGUUUAUGAGGGCAGUUGGCGAAGGUCCUUGUGGUGCUAGGCGUAGGAGGGGCUGAAGGGCUCUGUAGGAUGAGCAGAGACUCAAAUCCAGGAGCUGGAUUUGUGAGUGUGAUGGUUUGAAAGGGCUGGCCAGUGAGCCCGGCGAGACGCGAUUGGGGAUGAACAGGCCCCGCCGCAGAAUGCAGGGUGGACCACGAGGGAUUUCGCAGGCGGCCGUAGCUGUAGCUGCUGGCAGAGACUCAUAGAGAGGGAGCCGUCGGCAAGCGUGGGAAGAGAAUGUCAGCAAGCGACUCGCCUGAGGUGGGCUUCGAGGUGUGAGCCACCGGAAGGCUGAGGUGGAGUCCGCUGAAGACGCGUGUGGCCCUCUCUUUCCUUCAGACUCUGUCGGCUUCAGCUGCCCCUGUGCAGCCGGCAGCAGGUCAGUUAUACAAAUUCAUCGCCGCCGGGGUUACCCAGCGAUUACUGUGUGUCAGACCUGCCACACGGCCAAGUCCUUGCGUCAGAACGAGGGAGUGGGUCCACUGUGGAUCCCCUUUUCCUGGUUGUAGAAGCUGAGAAGCGGAAGGGUGAGAAAUGUCAGUUCCUCCUGUACACAAUGACAGAAGAAAGAACCAAGUUCAUUCACAUUGUGUCCCUGUACUCUCAGUUUUACAGCUGUGUUUGGCCCCAAACUCUCCAAACACAUUUCCGGAGGGAACCUAGUAGGUGCUGUGUCUUUGCAAGAGGUAUUGUUUUGAGGGAGGGGUCAGUUCUUCUUUUAAAGCUUGGGAAGUACAGUGGGCAGUCAAAGAGGCCCCCGCUAUCUCAUGCGAACUAGAAAGUGAUGAGUAGCGCUCAGGAGGGCGAGACCAAAGGUUUUAGGGUCCCAAGAAGGCAGGGAGUUUUUCCUGCCUGAGCAGAGAAUGUGUCCAGGAGGAGCCAACAGUGAGCAAGGCCGGGCCUGGUGACGGCAUCCAGAUGCCUGAUGGGGCAGCCAGGACCACAGAGCAGCAGACAUUGUCUAGGUGUGGCCUGUGUGAAGUCAAAACUGUUUUCCUAUCACCUUUUCCUCUCUCAUUCCCCCCGAGUGAACCUUUGAAAGUUCCAGAGGCGAUGUGACUCGGGGUACUGCAACGCACCGGGUCAGAAGCAGCUGUGAGAAUCCAGCUCUCUUUAGUGAAGCCACAUAUUAAAGAGAUUUGCAAAAAAACCCCACAAAAAACCCA